UGGCUCGAAUCUGAUGUAUUGGCCCUUAUGAAAAUUCCCCCUAGUCACCACAGUGUGUUAUCUGUGUGGUCAUAGUGUGCACACUAUGAUCACACCGAAACCACACUGUGAACACACAGUGAAAAUUGCACACUGUGAAUUGCCACACAGUGAACACACUGUGAAAUCACCGUGGAUUGGCCACAGUGUCUGUUCACACCGAGAACACACUGUGAACACACUGUGGUCAUUCCACAGUGUGAAUUGCCACUCUGUGAACACACUGUGAAUUCACCGUGGAUUGUCCACAGUGUCUGUUCACACCGAGAACACACUGUGAACACACCCAGUCAUUCCACAGUGUGAAUUGCCACUCUGUGAACACACUGUGAAUUCACCGUGGAUUGUCCACAGUGUCUGUUCACACCGAGAACACACUGUGAACACACUGUGGUCAUUCCACAGUGUGAAUUGUCACUCUUUGAACACACUGUGAAAUCACCGUGGAUUGUCCACAGUGUCUGUUCACACCGAGAACACACUGUGAACACACUGUGGUCAUUCCACAGUGUGAAUUGCCACUCUGUGAACACACUGUGAAAUCGUGGAGUAUUUGACCACACAGAAAACACAGCGAGAUCACACUGUGUUCACACGGUGACCAUUUCACAUUGUGACAUCUCCCAGACUAUGAAAACUGUGUGAAUGAUGUGUGAUUGGUCCACAUAGAAAACACACUGAGAUCACACUGUGUUCACACAGUGACCAUUUCACAUUGUGACCAUUUCCAGACUAUGAGAACUGUGUGAAUGGUGUGUGAUUUGAACAUAGUUGGUCCACACAGAAAACACACUGAGAUCACACUGUGUUCACAUGGUGACCAUUUCACAUUGUGACCAUUCCCAGACUAUGAAAACUGUGUGAAUGAUGUGUGAUUUGAACAAUUGGUCCACACACUGUGACAGGUUCACACUGUGAACGGCCACUGUGUGAACACACUGUGGACUCUUUGUGAUUUUGUCAGUGUUGGUCCACAUUUAGAGCACACUGUGAACACACUGUGACAGGUUCAGACUGUGAACCGUCACUGUGUGAUAACACUGUGAACUCACCGUGAUAAUUUCACAGUGCUGGUCCACUGAGAACACUGUGAAAACACUGUGACAUUUUCACAUUGUAAACCGCCACUGUGCGAACACACGGUGGACUCGCCGUGACUUUAAAUUACAUUGAAACAAAAUUCUAUGUUGAGAAUUGCUGCUGUCGCACCAGAAUCUUUCGAUAUUUUUUUGAAAAAUGUUUAUAUUUAUUUAAAAACAUUCUUUUUUUUAUGCAUCUUGAAAUUGCGUUACCCUCACGGUUAAUUUUUGUCAGUUGUGGAAUGUUGUAUCGACAUACAUACAUGUUAUAUUUCGAAGUGCAAACAUCGUGUCAGGAAAAAUAAUAACUUGUUGCCUUUUUACAGAAACAUAUAUCAAAAGCCGCGAGUUUGUGUGCAUGCAUGCCAAAACAGUGACGCCAACCAAUCAUAUGACGCGUAAUUUGCAACAGCAUCCUAGGUUGUAACGCGCUGGCCAAUCAGAGUACGCUCUUUGAAUUUACAAUCGCGCGCCAGGCCUGACGACCGUUGACCUUGCUUCGCCAACCGCCAUGACAGUACUGCUGCAUGUGUCAUGUGUGUUCCAGCAACGUGCAAUCGCCGUCGUUUUACUGAAAUAUCAGACCAAUGGGCUCAUGACCAAGUGAUUGAAGACAGUUCAUCAAUGAUGGCCAGAGUCAGAGUGGAACCUGAAGACAGCAGGUGACGGGACAAAUAUGUCUUUUCAAUUAAAACAGCGAGUAUCCAAGAAGCUUCAGAAUGGCAAGGUGAUGGAUGUUGCUGGUUGCUGAUUGUUGCAUCUCCUGCCAAGUUUGCGCCAGAAAGGAGACGUGAUGGAGGGACAUGCCUGGGACCCAUUCACCUUCAUCUUAAGUCUUACCGUUGUACGGUCAUUACUUAAAAUACAACAGUAUCAAAUAUUUUAAUACACGUAUCUGAAUAAUUGAUCAAUGUUCUCUUCUAGGGUGACUGUUAUUUUUCCAUAAGUGUUCAACAGGGAAAAGUUCUCAAGUUAUGGAAACUCAACUACUGUCUUUAAGGUAGAAUGGACCAUUUUCCUUUACAUGUUUGAAAUGUUUCAUUUGAAGCAACAGAAGUGCUUACGAAUCUAAAGAUUGGAACUGAAAAUCAAUCUCAUAAAGUUUUAGUUCAGUGAAUGCUUUAUUUAGGGGAGAACACAUUUUCUUGAUCUUGAUUUAGUCAAAGUUUGUUAAUGCAUGAGUGCCUAAUUCUCGCUCAGCCACCAAACCGAUGACUAAUGGCAACGAAACUAAUGUUUUGCAAAUGCAACCCCAAAACAAGUUUGGGUCGGGUCAGGUUGUUCAUUUCAGUAGGGUCGGUGUUGGUUUUGCAUUUGCGAUUUUCAGGUCAGUUAUUGUACAAAGCCAAAAUAAUUGGGGGAAAAACCCAGAAACAGUUCGGAUAUUCGCACGGUUCAGUCAUUUUAUUGCAGAGUCUUUGUGCUGGGUACAACAAACUGUGGUUUAUAGUCUAUCGUGUGCUGUUAGUAUUCACUGUACCUUAUGGUUCGUUACAAUUAUUUAUACAUGUAUUUAAACCAAGUUCAAAAUUUUACGCAAUAAAUAUUUCUUUGAAACAUGCAUAAUGGAAA
RNAcentral lists this long non-coding RNA (2690 nucleotides) under Patiria miniata (bat star). RNAcentral describes it as "uncharacterized LOC119721867". The record is from RNAcentral. Lineage: Eukaryota; Metazoa; Echinodermata; Asteroidea; Valvatida; Asterinidae.